GUGGGGAAUUUUGGACAAUGGGCGCAAGCCUGAUCCAGCCAUGCCGCGUGCAGGAAGACGCAUCUAUGGUGUGUAAACUGCUUUUGUACGGGAAGAAACACUCCCUCGUGAGGGAGCUUGACGGUACCGUAAGAAUAAGGAUCGGCUAACUCCGUGCCAGCAGCCGCGGUAAUACGGAGGAUCCAAGCGUUAUCCGGAAUCAUUGGGUUUAAAGGGUCCGUAGGCGGUUUAAUAAGUCAGUGGUGAAAGCCAAUCGCUCAACGAUGGAACAGCCAUUGAUACUGUUAGACUUGAAUUACAAGGAAGUAACUAGAAUAUGUAGUGUAGCGGUGAAAUGCUUAGAUAUUACAUGGAAUACCAAUUGCGAAGGCAGGUUACUACUUGUGGAUUGACGCUGAUGGACGAAAGCGUGGGGAGCGAACAGGAUUAGAUACCCUAGUAGUCC
This 445-nucleotide ribosomal RNA is filed under the name uncultured bacterium. RNAcentral's name for it is "partial 16S ribosomal RNA". It matches the Rfam family "Bacterial small subunit ribosomal RNA", at positions 354 to 796 of the family's 1533-position model. The record is from RNAcentral.